UGGCUCAGGACGAACGCUGGCGGCAGGCCUAACACAUGCAAGUCGAGCGGCAGCGGGAAAGUAGCUUGCUACUUUUGCCGGCGAGCGGCGGACGGGUGAGUAAUGCCUGGGAAAUUGCCCAGUCGAGGGGGAUAACAGUUGGAAACGACUGCUAAUACCGCAUACGCCCUACGGGGGAAAGCAGGGGACCUUCGGGCCUUGCGCGAUUGGAUAUGCCCAGGUGGGAUUAGCUAGUUGGUGAGGUAAUGGCUCACCAAGGCGACGAUCCCUAGCUGGUCUGAGAGGAUGAUCAGCCACACUGGAACUGAGACACGGUCCAGACUCCUACGGGAGGCAGCAGUAGG
This 344-nucleotide ribosomal RNA is filed under the name Aeromonas hydrophila. Its description in RNAcentral is "bacterial SSU rRNA". It matches the Rfam family "Bacterial small subunit ribosomal RNA", at positions 20 to 358 of the family's 1533-position model. The record is from RNAcentral. Lineage: Bacteria; Pseudomonadati; Pseudomonadota; Gammaproteobacteria; Aeromonadales; Aeromonadaceae.